GACGAACGCUGGCGGCGUGCUUAACACAUGCAAGUCGAACGAAGUGGCGAACGGGUGAGUAACGCGUAAUCAACCUGCCCUUCAGAGGGGGAGAACAGGCGGAAACGACUGCUAAUACCGCAUACGGAAGGAGGGGAUUGAGUCUGAUUAGCUAGUUGGGGGGGUAACGGCGCACCAAGGCGAUGACCAGUAGACGGUCGGAGAGGAUGAACGGCCACAUUGGGACUGAGACACGGCCCAGACUCCUACGGUAGGCAGCAGUGGGGAAUCUUCCGCAAUGGAGGAAACUCUGACGGAGCAACGCCGCGUGUGUGAAGAAGGUUUUCGGAUCGUAAAGCUCUGUUGUAAGGGAAGCGGUAUCUUACGAGAAAGCCACGGCUAACUACGUGCCAGCAGCCGCGGUAAUUC
Molecule: ribosomal RNA, 408 nt
Filed under: uncultured bacterium
Lineage: Bacteria
Description: partial 16S ribosomal RNA
Rfam family: Bacterial small subunit ribosomal RNA
Source: RNAcentral